Molecule: unclassified non-coding RNA, 81 nt
Filed under: Pseudomonas umsongensis
Lineage: Bacteria; Pseudomonadati; Pseudomonadota; Gammaproteobacteria; Pseudomonadales; Pseudomonadaceae
Source: RNAcentral
UGUAGGAGCUGCCGCAGGCUGCGAUCUUUUGAUCUUGAUCUGAUAAAAAUCAAAAGAUCGCAGCCUGCGGCAGCUCCUACA